UACAGAGGUCUCAAGCGUUGUUCGGAUUCAUUGGGCGUAAAGGGUGCGUAGGUGGCGGGGUAAGUCAGGUGUGAAAUCUCGGGGCUCAACCCCGAAACUGCACUUGAUACUGCCUUGCUCGAGUACUGGAGAGGAGAUUGGAAUUUACGGUGUAGCAGUGAAAUGCGUGGAUAUCGUAAGGGAGACCAGUGGCGAAGGCGAAUCUCUGGACAGUUACUGACACUGAGGCACGAAGGCCAGGGGAGCAAACGGG
Molecule: ribosomal RNA, 253 nt
Filed under: uncultured bacterium
Lineage: Bacteria
Description: partial 16S ribosomal RNA
Rfam family: Bacterial small subunit ribosomal RNA
Source: RNAcentral